This is a long non-coding RNA of Pyrus x bretschneideri (Chinese white pear), 461 nucleotides long. RefSeq lists it as uncharacterized. The record is from RefSeq and is a predicted model, not a curated record. Lineage: Eukaryota; Viridiplantae; Streptophyta; Magnoliopsida; Rosales; Rosaceae. The transcript has 2 exons.
GAGUUCAAGGAGCAAAGAGCUUGGAGGUGGUCAAUCUUUGGUCUUAGAUCUAGAUCAAGAGUGCAUAAAACAGAAUCAGGUACCGAUCAUCGUUGAUGUGUGAGUUUUUCAUGUCUUACCAAACGAAAUCGCCAUCGAAGGGCUACUCUACUUUGCAACGAUGGAUCUGAUGUCUUGCAAGAACGAUUGGGUUGGGUAUGGGUUGCGGGUGUGGCUGCUUUUGAAGAUUGAGAAAGGAUUUUGAAGCCUUGGGCUUGCUUCUGCAUUUAAGGGAGUCGGUGGAGGGAAAGAGAGGAUGGCUCUCUGUGACUCUGUGGGAGUGAGAAGAUAAUGAUGUUAUCAAAAAAUAAAAUAAGAAAUGAAUGGUUAGUGAAGAUGACAGACAAAGAAAGAAUUAAAAAAGGAAAAGGUGGGUGGAUAUAGGUCGUCUAUCUUCCAAAAAAAGUUAUUGGCCAAAUGAA